UAGUCCACGCAGUAAACGAUGAGUGCUAGAUGUUUGGGACUUACGUCCUGAGUGUCGUAGCUAACGUGUUAAGCACUCCGCCUGAGUAGUACGGUCGCAAGAUUAAAAACUCAAAGGAAUUGACGGGGACCCGCACAAGCGGUGGAACAUGUGGUUUAAUUCGAUGAUACGCGAAAAACCUUACCAGGUCUUGACAUACUAAUCAUACGGCUAAGAAAUUAGCUGGUCAGUUCGGCUGGAUUAGUACAGGUGUUGCAUGGUUGUCGUCAGCUCGUGUCGUGAGAUGUUGGGUUAAGUCCCGCAACGAGCGCAACCCCUAUUCCUUAUUUGCCAGCGAUUAAAGUCGGGGACUAUAGGAAAACUGCCGGUGAUAAGCCGGAGGAAGGCGGGGAUGAUGUCAAAUCAGCAUGGCCCUUAUGGGCCUGGGGCUACACACGUGUUACAAUGGU
Molecule: ribosomal RNA, 449 nt
Filed under: uncultured bacterium
Lineage: Bacteria
Description: bacterial SSU rRNA
Rfam family: Bacterial small subunit ribosomal RNA
Source: RNAcentral